AGGUCAAGCAAGAAAGAGCACAGGGUGAAUGCCUUGGCACUGGGAGCCGAUGAAAGACGUGGUAAGCUGCGAAAAGCUUCGGGGAGGCGCAAACAGCCAUCGAUCCGGAGAUUUCUGAAUGGGGAAACCUACUUGAGCAAACCUCAAGUAUCCGUACGUGAAUCCAUAGCGUGCGGAAGGGAACGUUGUGAACUGAAACAUCUAAGUAGCAAUAGGAGGAGAAAGAAACAUCGAUUUCCUGAGUAGCGGCGAGCGAAAGGGAAAGAGGCCAAACCGAAGGACCUGGUUCUUCGGGGUUGCGGACCGCAUAUGGCGAUGGAGGCUAUGGUAGUCGAACUGUUUUGGGAAAGCAGACCAGAGACGGUGAAAGUCCGGUAGACGAAACCAGAAGACCCGCCGCGGGAUCCAGAGUACCACGGGACACGAGAAACCCUGUGGGAAGCCGGGGGGACCACCCCCCAAGCCUAAAUACUCCCCAGUGACCGAUAGUGAAGCAGUACUGUGAAGGAAAGGUGAAAAGAACCCCGGGAGGGGAGUGAAAAAGAACCUGAAACCUUGUGCUUACAAACAGUCAGAGGACGCAAGUCUGAUGGCGUACUUUUUGUAGAACGGUCCGGCGAGUUACUAAUGCCAGCGAGGUUAAGCACUCAGAAGGUGCGGAGCCGAAGGGAAACCAAGUCUGAACAGGGCGUAAAGUUAGUAUUAGUAGACCCGAAACCGGGUGACCUAUCCAUGUCCAGGUUGAAGGAGCCGUAAAAGGCUUUGGAGGACCGAACACACAUCUGUUGAAAAAGGUGGUGAUGAGGUGUGGAUAGCGGAGAAAUUCCAAUC
This 831-nucleotide ribosomal RNA is filed under the name Anaerotignum lactatifermentans. Its description in RNAcentral is "partial 23S ribosomal RNA". It matches the Rfam family "Bacterial large subunit ribosomal RNA", at positions 1 to 834 of the family's 2925-position model. The record is from RNAcentral. Lineage: Bacteria; Bacillati; Bacillota; Clostridia; Lachnospirales; Anaerotignaceae.